GCCCUGGCAGUCAGAGGCGAUGAAGGACGUGCUAAUCUGCGAUAAGCGUCGGUAAGGUGAUAUGAACCGUUAUAACCGGCGAUUUCCGAAUGGGGAAACCCAGUGUGUUUCGACACACUAUCAUUAACUGAAUCCAUAGGUUAAUGAGGCGAACCGGGGGAACUGAAACAUCUAAGUACCCCGAGGAAAAGAAAUCAACCGAGAUUCCCCCAGUAGCGGCGAGCGAACGGGGAGCAGCCCAGAGCCUGAAUCAGUGUGUGUGUUAGUGGAAGCGUCUGGAAAGGCGCGCGAUACAGGGUGACAGCCCCGUACACAAAAAUGCACAUACUGUGAGCUCGAUGAGUAGGGCGGGACACGUGGUAUCCUGUCUGAAUAUGGGGGGACCAUCCUCCAAGGCUAAAUACUCCUGACUGACCGAUAGUGAACCAGUACCGUGAGGGAAAGGCGAAAAGAACCCCGGCGAGGGGAGUGAAAAAGAACCUGAAACCGUGUACGUACAAGCAGUGGGAGCACGCUUAGGCGUGUGACUGCGUACCUUUUGUAUAAUGGGUCAGCGACUUAUAUUCUGUAGCAAGGUUAACCGAAUAGGGGAGCCGAAGGGAAACCGAGUCUUAACUGGGCGUUAAGUUGCAGGGUAUAGACCCGAAACCCGGUGAUCUAGCCAUGGGCAGGUUGAAGGUUGGGUAACACUAACUGGAGGACCGAACCGACUAAUGUUGAAAAAUUAGCGGAUGACUUGUGGCUGGGGGUGAAAGGCCAAUCAAACCGGGAGAUAGCUGGUUCUCCCCGAAAGCUAUUUAGGUAGCGCCUCGUGAAUUCAUCUCCGGGGGUAGAGCACUGUUUCGGCAAGGGGGUCAUCCCGACUUACCAACCCGAUGCAAACUGCGAAUACCGGAGAAUGUUAUCACGGGAGACACACGGCGGGUGCUAACGUCCGUCGUGAAGAGGGAAACAACCCAGACCGCCAGCUAAGGUCCCAAAGUCAUGGUUAAGUGGGAAACGAUGUGGGAAGGCCCAGACAGCCAGGAUGUUGGCUUAGAAGCAGCCAUCAUUUAAAGAAAGCGUAAUAGCUCACUGGUCGAGUCGGCCUGCGCGGAAGAUGUAACGGGGCUAAACCAUGCACCGAAGCUGCGGCAGCGACGCUGAUGCGUUGUUGGGUAGGGGAGCGUUCUGUAAGCCUGUGAAGGUGUGCUGUGAG
RNAcentral lists this ribosomal RNA (1198 nucleotides) under Escherichia coli. RNAcentral describes it as "partial 23S ribosomal RNA". It matches the Rfam family "Bacterial large subunit ribosomal RNA", at positions 30 to 1267 of the family's 2925-position model. The record is from RNAcentral. Lineage: Bacteria; Pseudomonadati; Pseudomonadota; Gammaproteobacteria; Enterobacterales; Enterobacteriaceae.